Molecule: long non-coding RNA, 301 nt
Filed under: Mytilus galloprovincialis (Mediterranean mussel)
Lineage: Eukaryota; Metazoa; Mollusca; Bivalvia; Mytilida; Mytilidae
Source: RNAcentral
GGUUCAUGUUAAGUUUAUGUGACAGUCGUAAUAAAGCUUUAUAUUUAGGAGUAUCAACAUAAUAUCAAUGAUUAGUAAAGAAGGCGAGACAUUUCAGUGUGUGCACUCUUGUAUAAAUAUAUAACUAUAUUUGGUUUAUGCAUACAUUAAAGGUCCUCAUGCCCGCCAGACUGUUUUCACUACACGUUUACGUCAUUUCAUGGAUCAGUGAAUAUGGUUAAUUUUUCGUUGUCAAGUCUAUUUCUCAGAAACUAUGAGCAAUGGGUCUACACUAUUUCGUGUAUCCAAUGAUUGAAAGGUG